Molecule: ribosomal RNA, 564 nt
Filed under: Triticum aestivum (bread wheat)
Lineage: Eukaryota; Viridiplantae; Streptophyta; Magnoliopsida; Poales; Poaceae
Description: partial small subunit ribosomal RNA
Source: RNAcentral
AUGUUCCAUGUUUCGGUGCAGAAGGUCAGACGUGUUUGGAGGAGAGUGAAGGAGUGCCUUCGACAAGGCAUACCCGUUGAUGUAAGAUCAAGGAAGCCGAAAAACUGUGGGCGCAAAAGGAUUGUAGUUGACCUCAGUAUGGUUCCUGAGAUUCCUCGCAGCCAAAGGAGAACUAUACGCAGUCUUGCAAGAGCUUUGGGUGUGAAGAAAAGCACACUACAUAGGAUGUUUACGGACGGCUUGCUCGAUAGGCAUUCAAGCUCACUCAAACCAUAUUUGAAGGAAGCAAACAAAAAGGCUAGGAUGCGGUUUUGUCUCUCUAUGUUUGACCAACAAAGUUUGCAAAAUAGGCCGACGUUCAAAGAUAUGCGUAACAUAAUACAUAUAGAUGAAAAGUGGUUUAACACCACUCAAAAGACUAUGAAAUUCUACAAGCUGCCAUCGGAAGAAGAGCCACAUAGGACCGUGCAAAAUAAGAACUCCAUUGGCAAAAUAAUGUUUUUGGUUGCUAUAGCCAGGCCUAGAUACAAUGCAGAAGGUAUUUGCAUUUUGAUGGGAAGAUAG